Molecule: ribosomal RNA, 158 nt
Filed under: Cetraspora gilmorei
Lineage: Eukaryota; Fungi; Glomeromycota; Glomeromycetes; Diversisporales; Gigasporaceae
Description: 5.8S ribosomal RNA
Rfam family: 5.8S ribosomal RNA
About the family: 5.8S ribosomal RNA (5.8S rRNA) is a component of the large subunit of the eukaryotic ribosome. It is transcribed by RNA polymerase I as part of the 45S precursor that also contains 18S and 28S rRNA. Functionally, it is thought that 5.8S rRNA may be involved in ribosome translocation.
Source: RNAcentral
AAACUUUCAACAAUGGAUCUCUUGGUUCUCGCAUCGAUGAAGAACGCAGCGAAAUGCGAUAAGUAAUGUGAAUUGCAGAAUUCCGUGAAUCAUCAAAUUUUUGAACGUAAAUUGCACUCCUUGGUAUUCCGAGGAGUACACAUGCUUGAGGGUCAGUU